UAAACUAGGAAUUAGAUACCCUAUUAUACUAGUGUGUGAAAUGAUUUGCUUGGGUAGUAAUUAGUUAUGGUCUUUAAAUCUAAAGGAUUUGGCGGUGUCCCAGUCUAGUUAGAGGAACCUGCACUUUAAACGAUAUUCCACGAAGUAUCUUACUUUAUUUUGUUUAUCAAUCUAUAUAUCGUCAUUAUAAAAUAAUAUUAAAAAUUAUUUAUUGUAAUAGGAAGUUUUUAAUAUAUUAGAUCAAGGUGUAGUCAAUAGUAGAGUAGUUGUGGGUUACAAUAUAUUAUAUAUACUACGGAUUAGGCUUAGAAGUAGGCCCAGGAAGGUGGAUUUAAUAGUAAGUGUGUUUUAAUAUGGCAUGUUGAUAAAAGCUCUGGGACAUGUACACAUCCCCCCGCUCUAAA
RNAcentral lists this ribosomal RNA (404 nucleotides) under Cristimenes commensalis. RNAcentral's name for it is "partial 12S ribosomal RNA". The stretch from base 52 to 404 matches the Rfam family "Microsporidia small subunit ribosomal RNA", at positions 752 to 1207 of the family's 1311-position model. The record is from RNAcentral. Lineage: Eukaryota; Metazoa; Arthropoda; Malacostraca; Decapoda; Palaemonidae.